Molecule: long non-coding RNA, 1341 nt
Organism: Pelmatolapia mariae (spotted tilapia)
Lineage: Eukaryota; Metazoa; Chordata; Actinopteri; Cichliformes; Cichlidae
Exons: 6
Source: RefSeq, a predicted model, not a curated record
GCAUGGUCUGCCUCUCAGUCAGCCGGAAGAUGUGGUGCAGAAGGAGUAAAAUUCAGUAUGGUGAGGUCUGCUCAGUAAAGGCCCGUGCGGUGCGUUGACAAGGAAAAAGACUAAACAGAGUGACUCGAAAGUUUUAUGACUGCGCAGAGCGGGUGUAGUGCAAUGGCAGUCCGCGGUUACUUGGGGACUCUUGAUGGGAGACAGCAUCAAAAAAUAUGUGCAACAACCAGUCUGUGGGCUACUCCUGUGCGAGGAGCAACGUUACAAUUGGGUUCAGUAGGCUGCAGUGGACACUUCUGCGGCACCGCCAUGUUGUUACUACGGAACGGACACCACAGGCAGUGACUUUAGUUGGCAUGCUGGCACCCAGUGUUAAACAAACAUGAUGGCUGAGUGUUGGCAAUGGAAUAGAACUACACACUGCUUGCCUUUAGGCGUAAAGGCAGAGGAUCUGUGGUACUGAUAUCUACAGACUGAAGUGAUCUGGACAGGCAGUUUUGGAUGACUUUGGGAUGCAACUGCUAUCUUGGCUACAUCGACCAGUUUCGGCAAAUGUCAUGUCAGGAUGUGGAGUUCUGUCUGCAUACCUCAACCUCACAGGGGCUUUAAAUUUCAAGACAAGGGUUUUUAUUUUAUUUUCCUGUCUAAUCCCUCAUUUGAAGGUUUAAAACCAGAUCUAUCAAAAUGUUUGCCUUUUUAAUGUCUGUUAAUCGAAACAGCAGCAUCAAUAGGUAAUAUUGAACACACAUUUUACACUGGAGUACAGCAAGUGUACAUUUUGAGUUGGAUAAUUCUGAGGUUAUCUUGCAACUGAGCUCAAUGAUUAAGAGAUGCAAGUUUUCCAUGUGGCGUUUUGAAGAGAAAAGAUGGCUGUAAAUUCUGGUUUGGAAAAAUGAAGCAAAUGCUGAAAUCCCUUAAACCAACAUUCUGUCUGAAAGCCACCAAAUGUCAAUUGCUAGGUUUGCAGAUUAUGAGAAACGGCUUUCUAGUAAACUCUUUACUGCUAAGUUUAUGGCAUCACUCAUUUGGGGUCAUAACAAAAACAGCAAGAUGAUGUGGUGCUGAAGUCUGAUUAUACAAUGGUACAAGCAUUAAUGUACAGGAGGCUAAAUAACAAAUGCAUGAAUUGUUCCUCUCAUUUUGGCUGAAUAUUUGUCAUCUGUCUGUUUUAUUGGCCUAGAUGUAAUGUUGUACCACUGUCAUUUUUUGGGUAUAAUUUCCAAACUCCAGAUGGUGAUGGAAUCAUCUUUAUUUGAGAAAUGUACUUAAACCUUUUUGUCCCUACUUUCUGUGUUUUCAAGCUACCCCUUUAAAAGGUGAAUAAACUGAACAAGAAAUGUG